This 468-nucleotide ribosomal RNA is filed under the name uncultured bacterium. RNAcentral describes it as "partial 16S ribosomal RNA". It matches the Rfam family "Bacterial small subunit ribosomal RNA", at positions 28 to 507 of the family's 1533-position model. The record is from RNAcentral.
GACGAACGCUGGCGGUGUGCUUAACACAUGCAGGUCGAACGGUAAGGCCCUUUCGGGGGUACACGAGUGGCGAACGGGUGAGUAACACGUGAGUAACCUGCCCUCAUCUCUGGGAUAACAGUCGGAAACGGUUGCUAAUACUGGAUAUGAGCUUGCAAGGCAUCUUGUGGGUUGGAAAGAUUUUUUUUGGUUGGGGAUGGACUCGCGGCCUAUCAGCUUGUUGGUGAGGUAGUGGCUCACCAAGGCUUCGACGGGGAGCCGGCCUGAGAGGGCGACCGGCCACAUUGGGACUGAGAUACGGCCCAAACUCCUACGGGAGGCAGCAGUGGGGAAUAUUGCACAAUGGACGGAAGUCUGAUGCAGCAACGCCGCGUGCGGGAUGACGGCCUUCGGGUUGUAAACCGCUUUCAAUUGUGACGAAGCUUUUUUGUGACGGUAGCAGUAGAAGAAGCACCGGCUAACUACGUG